AUGAACGCUGGCGGCGUGCCUAAUACAUGCAAGUCGAGCGAACGGACGAGAAGCUUGCUUCUCUGAUGUUAGCGGCGGACGGGUGAGUAACACGUGGAUAACCUACCUAUAAGACUGGGAUAACUUCGGGAAACCGGAGCUAAUACCGGAUGAUAUUUUUAAACGCAUGGUUCAAAAAUGAAAGACGGGCUUGCUGUCACUUAUAAAUGGAUCCGCGCCGCAUUAGCUAGUUGGUAAGGUAACGGCUUACCAAGGCAACGAUGCAUAGCCGACCUGAGAGGGUGAUCGGCCACACUGGAACUGAGACACGGUCCAGACUCCUACGGGAGGCAGCAGUAGGGAAUCUUCCGCAAUGGGCGAAAGCCUGACGGAGCAACGCCGCGUGAGUGAUGAAGGUCUUCGGAUCGUAAAACUCUGUUAUUAGGGAAGAACAUAUGUGUAAGUAACUGUGCACAUCUUGACGGUACCUAAUCAGAAAGCCACGGCUAACUACGUG
This 496-nucleotide ribosomal RNA is filed under the name uncultured bacterium. Its description in RNAcentral is "partial 16S ribosomal RNA". It matches the Rfam family "Bacterial small subunit ribosomal RNA", at positions 29 to 507 of the family's 1533-position model. The record is from RNAcentral.